CGGUCCUGCUACAGUGUGAAUGUGGAAAAGUGGAAAAGUUUUGCAAGAUAUUGACAAAUUGGGCAGAAAUUAACCCUUCAGACUAUUAGUGUACGUAUUUCACGUUGGGUUGCUUGUAUUGUUGUGUUCACUGACUGACUGAAAUCAGGCAAAAUGUUUGCCUUUUUGUUGGGGUUUGCGUCUGGGACUGCAGUGGGUAUCUACCUGUCACAGAAUUAUGAGGUGCCAGAUAUGAAGAAGCUGGUCGAUAAUCUCAAGGAUUCCGCCAAGAAGCUUGAGAAGAAACCUGACGGGGAUACGAAGAAGGAAUCGUGAUGGCUGGGAAGAGAAGAGAGAGAGAGAAGAGUGCAAAAUGGACAAGGACUGGAAAUCAGCAAUUGACACUAGAUGUCACUGUCGGGAACAGUGGAUCACAGACCUAGUAUCUUAUUUUUUUUUAUAAAUACAGGCAUCA
This is a long non-coding RNA of Patiria miniata (bat star), 454 nucleotides long. RefSeq lists it as uncharacterized. The transcript is spliced from 3 exons. The record is from RefSeq and is a predicted model, not a curated record. NCBI's taxonomy places the organism in Eukaryota, Metazoa, Echinodermata, Asteroidea, Valvatida, Asterinidae.